This 361-nucleotide ribosomal RNA is filed under the name uncultured soil bacterium. RNAcentral's name for it is "bacterial SSU rRNA". It matches the Rfam family "Bacterial small subunit ribosomal RNA", at positions 26 to 408 of the family's 1533-position model. The record is from RNAcentral.
AGAACGAACGCUGGCGGCAUGCCUAAUACAUGCAAGUCGAACGAACUCUUCGGAGUUAGUGGCGCACGGGUGCGUAACGCGUGGGAAUCUGCCCUUGGGUUCGGAAUAACAGUUGGAAACGACUGCUAAUACCGGAUGAUGACGAAAGUCCAAAGAUUUAUCGCCCAGGGAUGAGCCCGCGUAGGAUUAGCUAGUUGGUGAGGUAAAGGCUCACCAAGGCGACGAUCCUUAGCUGGUCUGAGAGGAUGAUCAGCCACACUGGAACUGAGACACGGCCCAGACUCCGUACGGGAGCAGCAGUAGGAAUAGUGGACAAGUGGGACGAAAGCCGUAGAUCCGAAGCAAGUGCCGCGUAGAGUGA